GUGCAUUAUAGUUAUGUGUAAUAGUGGGUUUGGGUUCAUGGUUCAACUGUUUAGUUAUUCUUAUACAGAAUACAGUAUUAAACCCUGCUCAGUACCCGCUGCAGGUGAAGCCAGAUUUAAAGAUAGGUAGUUAGUGUAGUUGGGUAAAUCGGGUCUAAUAUCCAGUAAGAUAAAGAAAAUGGAGGCCAUUAUUGAAAAUGAAGUCCAGGAAACCAGAGCAGCACUUGGGGACAUUGAAAUGUUAAUGUCCCCAAGGGCCAGAACCCAUCCUAAGGAACUGCUGAUGAAACAGCUGCCAGCAAACUGGGAGGUGCUGGUCAGACCGCCCCAGCCUUCCUGCCCAGAGGACUCCUCCAGCCCACCUGUCUCCACCUCUGCCUUCCCACCUGCAUCCCAUCACUGCAGGACGGAGGGAAACAAAGUUCAGGGGUGUGGGAGGACUAACAGGAGACCUUAGCUGUAAAAGAGGGAACACCUCCCCUUCCACGGAUUCAGCCUUUUGGUCCCCUUCUUCCUCCAGGAGAAGUCUUUUCUGCUGUCCUUUAAUAAAGCUUCUACUUUCCACUCUACACUUGCCUCCACGUGCUUCUUGUGCUGAAUUUUUUCUUUUUCCAGUAUUGGAGAUUGAAGCUAGGGCCUUCUGCCUGCUAGCUAAGUGCUCUACCACUGAGCUAUACCCCAUCCCU
This 686-nucleotide long non-coding RNA is filed under the name Marmota monax (woodchuck). The record is from RNAcentral. Lineage: Eukaryota; Metazoa; Chordata; Mammalia; Rodentia; Sciuridae.